This 294-nucleotide non-coding RNA is filed under the name Volvox carteri f. nagariensis. RNAcentral's name for it is "Eukaryotic large subunit ribosomal RNA". It matches the Rfam family "Eukaryotic large subunit ribosomal RNA", at positions 1 to 301 of the family's 3401-position model. The record is from Rfam by way of RNAcentral. Lineage: Eukaryota; Viridiplantae; Chlorophyta; Chlorophyceae; Chlamydomonadales; Volvocaceae.
CGACCUGAGCUCAGGCAAGGUUACCCGCUGAACUUAAGCAUAUCAUUAAGCGGUGGAAAAGAAACUAACCAGGAUUCCCCUAGUAACGGCGAGCGAACCGGGAAUAGCCCAACUUGAAAAUCUCCCCUUGGAGAAUUGUAGUCUACAGAAGCGCCCUCAUGGGCUGGCGGAACUCAAGUCGGAUCGAAUGCCGCGUCAGAGAGGGUGAUAACCCCGUCGGUUCCUGCCUAGUCCUCUCACGAGGUGCUUUCCACGAGUCGGGUUGUUUGGGAAUGCAGCCCUAAUUGGAGGAAA